RNA transcript from Cavia porcellus (domestic guinea pig), 2073 nucleotides. It is a transcript of the gene named trans-golgi network vesicle protein 23 homolog C, with no coding region annotated. The transcript is spliced from 8 exons. The record is from RefSeq and is marked validated. NCBI's taxonomy places the organism in Eukaryota, Metazoa, Chordata, Mammalia, Rodentia, Caviidae.
GCCUAGAAGCGGAAGUGGCGCUGGAAAAUAGGACCGGGUUGGGGCCUGUGCUAUAUUAGCACCUUCCGGGCUCGUAGUGACGAGUCCGCCGAAGUUGCACACCGGACUCGGCUGCCGCUGCGCUGACGUGGCCCCCGGAAGUGGGGUUUGCGCAGGGUUGCCAUGUUGCCACAGGACAGUAAUGAUGAUGCUGAAGAUGUUUCACUGUUUGAUGCCGAAGAAGAGACAGCUACCAGACCUAACAGGUCCAAGAUCAGGCAUCCAGUGGCAUCGUUUUUCCACUUGUUCUUUCGCGUCAGUGCGAUUAUAGUCUACCUUCUGUGUGAACUGCUCAGCGGCAGCUUCAUUGCCUGUAUGGUGACCAUUAUCUUACUGUUGUCAUGUGAUUUUUGGACAGUGAAGAAUGUCACGGGUAGACUAAUGGUUGGCCUACGCUGGUGGAAUCACAUUGAUGAAGAUGGAAAGAGCCACUGGGUGUUUGAGUCCAGGAAGGCAACUUCUCAAGAGAGUAAAAGUUUUUCAGAGGCUGAAUCCAGAAUAUUUUGGUUAGGACUUAUUGCCUGUCCGGUGCUCUGGGUGAUAUUCGCCUUUAGUGCCCUUUUCUCCUUCAGAUUGAAGUGGUUGCCGUAUUGCGUGAAUUCUCCUCUCCUCGAACACCUCCCCACAUUGCCUGAGGUAGCCUGACGAUGCCGGUGGAAGGAGACCUUAGCUGGACCCUGGCUGCCUUGGCUGGCUUGCUUGGAUUGUGCCUUCUGAUAUGGAGUGGGAUUCUUAACUCCUUGUUGACUGCGGUGGUUAUCAUGGGUGUGGUGCUGCAAGGUGCCAACCUGUACGGUUACGUCAAAUGUAAGGUGGGCAGCAGGAAGAAUUUAACCAGCAUGGCUACCUCGUAUCUCGGGAAGCAGUUUUUAAGACAAAACACUGGAGAUGACCAGACUUCCUGAGUAGAGAGAAAGCUUAUGUGUUCUGUUACCUUGGGGAAUAAUUGAAGAGAUUCUUGACUCUGAAUUACUUAGAGGUCCAUUCAUUUUGAAAAGAGGCGUAUUGGGUUUGUUUUUCUGCUUAAAAACUUCUAUUUAAAAAAUAGGGAACAGGUUUCAUAUUGUUUUCAUUUUCUUUCUAUUUUCUGGGGCUAGAAAGUAUAGUAUCAUCAGAAACACUGUCAGAAUUUGUUUUAUAGUAUACAUGUACAUACUAUAUGCUAUGUAAUAGCACUUUAUUCCAAAUUAAUGUGUUCAUUUACAUAAAUAACAGAUCUUUACAUUUUGAUCUUAGAGCAUAGGAAGGUGUUCUUAGUUCUAUGUGUUUGCACAUUAUUUCUGUAGAUUAUUUUCAGAAGUAAGUUUUGAUUCUAUGUGAAAGUGAGCACUUUGGCAUAUGUAUGAGUUUUAAAAGUUAGAAAUAAUUGUUCAUUUUUAUUAUGUACUCCAUGGUGAAAUUUCUUAUCUUAGAAAUACAUGCUGACAUGUAAAAACCGAAUUCAGACCAGUAGUGUUAACUAAUUUCUAAAAUUGUGUUUUUAUUUUUAUUUUGAGGCCAAUAAUGUCUAAAUAGAAUCUUCAUAGUUUAUGUUUAGAGUGCACCCAGGGAUUGCUGCUGUUUUGUUUAUUUUAGGGGAAGGAUAGUGAAGUUCACUUUGGAAGUUUCUGAAACCCCUUCAGUGGUCUUUGGACUAAUAAAUUUUUUACCACUGAAGGAAUAUUAUUCUUAUGAUAAUGAGAAUAAUCUUUUGAUCUUGGCAUAAUAAAUGCCUAAAAGACAUUUUGUUUUAUGAAUCUAUUUUUUUCUGCUAUAAUGGGGAUAUUGUAAAUCAUACAUUUAUAUUGAUGGCAUUUCUUAAAGCUAUAUAUGUAACUAAACUUAUCUACAAAUUAUUGUAGGCAUCUAUACAUUCUGUUGUAGGUACUGUAAACUUUGUUGGAGUCUUAAUCACCAGAUUAUGUUGUGAAUAUAUUUGUACAUUGUUAAAAUAUUGUAAAGAUGUUUUGUUAAAUUGAGUAAGUGUCUAUUGGAGUAGGGACUUGAAAAAUGCAUUACUUUAUAUUUGUAUAAAGCUUUAUUGUUUACAAAGCA